RNAcentral lists this long non-coding RNA (609 nucleotides) under Struthio camelus australis. RNAcentral describes it as "lncRNA (ENSSCUG00000008147.1)". The record is from RNAcentral. Lineage: Eukaryota; Metazoa; Chordata; Aves; Struthioniformes; Struthionidae.
AAAAUCCAAAGUAUAACAAGGGGAGAACAGUUAGUGCUGAUUUUCAUUUGCAUAAAUUUUCAUAUAUUUUGGUGAAAAUAAUAGACUAGUGGAGAGCGGGGCUUAGUGGAGUCAGUGCAAAGGAAAAUCUUAACAUGGAUCGUUUCGCUGGAGUUGAGAACAUGAUUUUUCCCCCCUGUCACCUUAUUAAAAUCCAAAAUUAAAAAAAAUCUCUAAAUCCUGGAAGUAUGAUCGGUCCCGUAGACCAGAGCCACGGCUGAUCGCCCAGCCCCACUCGCUGUGACACCCCCACUUGCGUUCCUCUGGCAGCCUCACCUCCCUCACGAAACCUCGCCGCUUAAGACAGAGCCAGCCAACAGCAGCAUUUUGUGACCCAUUCUGUUCUCCAGUCUUGUUAUAUGGAUUUCUGUCUCUCUGAGUAGUUCCUAAGCAUCCCCUUGGAUGACAUCUACCACACAGUGCCCUGUGUUCUUGCUGGGAAAAUAAGGCCACGCACCCCUUCUUCUCCUGGACUUGCCCAGCGAUGCUUUCAGGGACCAUCUCUGAGCAGCGGCUGCAGCAUGACACGGACAAAGAGCAGCUAUAGGGUGGCAUUGGUAGCCCCCUAGC